RNAcentral lists this ribosomal RNA (403 nucleotides) under uncultured bacterium. RNAcentral describes it as "partial 16S ribosomal RNA". It matches the Rfam family "Bacterial small subunit ribosomal RNA", at positions 28 to 526 of the family's 1533-position model. The record is from RNAcentral.
GAUGAACGCUGGCGGCAGGCCUAACACAUGCAAGUCGUGCGAGCUGCGGACGGGUUAGUAAUGUAUGGGGACUGCCCGAUAGAGGGGGAUAACUACUGGCAACGGUGGCUAAUACCGCAUACUAUCGGAUAACCCAUAUGGGAUUAGCUAGUAGGUGGGGUAAAGGCUCACCUAGGCGACGAUCUCUAGCUGGUCUGAGAGGAUGAUCAGCCACCAUAGUAGUAAGACACGGCCCAGACUCCUACGGAGGCAGCAGUGGGGAAGAUUGCACAAUGGGGGCAAGCCUGAUGAAGCCAUGACGCGUGUAUGAAGAAGGCGUUAGUGUUGUAAAGGACUUUCAGAGGGGAGGCGUUAAACGCAGAAGAAGCACCGGCAAACUCCGUGCCAGACGCCGAGGUAAUAC